UUUCAGUGAUGCAAUAAUGUGGAGUUCGUAAGUAACAGCAGUGAAGCUGGGUAGGGCUCUCUUGGUGGGGGAGGUAUUUCAAUAUCUGGAGAGAGUGUGUGGCUGCUGGAUAGAAGAUUGAGUAGACAUAAAUCUUGACAAAUAAUGAUCAACAAAUGGUAACAAUGGCAGUGAAGCCAACACAGCUACCAUGGGCUCUUCACCUUGUUCCUGUCUCCAGAGCAUCACAUCUUUUCAAGAAUGGACAAUGUAUGAUGCAGUUCUGAUCUUAUCACAACAUGUAUAACAUCUGGAAGAACUGCCACUUGUCAAGUCAACCAAGGCGCUGCUGACAGACAAAUUAACGCGCUAUUUGUCACUGUUUUGUCUCAAUUGCCUUCCACAAAAUAUCUUUGAAGUGAUGCAUCAGAGGAGUGGAUUCACAACCAGUUUUCCAACAGCUCCCUCACUGCAUCUACAAGUCCAGACCCUGCAACUACAGAUGAGAUUCACCAUAGAACAUGCAGCGAGUUAUCACAUGUGUAUGGAUUUCUACUAUGCCAGUGAACACAUUUUCACUGACAUUUCCACCCUGCAUAUUAAACCUCAUAUUUCACAUAUCUGCAAAGAAGACCAGGUUUGGUUACCAUGAAUGGGCCACAUUAUGUUUUUAUAUGUUAUUCAAUCUCCUACAGGCUUUUAUCCAAACCAAGCAACUAAAAUAAAACAUGGCUUCCUUCCCCGAGAUGGUUUCAUAGCUCAGCUCUCCAACUUUCUCUCCUACCACAAACACGCAACACAAUUGUGCAACAGCCUAGGAAGAAAUGGUGAGAUCAGAGCCGUGACUGCAGACAUCCUGACAUGGGGAUCUGGCAGCUAUUCAACACAAACACAAUUAGAGGACUUACCCUUGCGUGAAGUAUUUGCUUUCUUGAUAGUCACCAGCCUUAACCUCUAGGAAUGCUUACGAAUCAGAUAGUGUUCCUUAAAGAAGGGUGAGCUUUUUCAAGCUCCUCUGUCUUGUUUUAGCCAACACAGAUGUAAAGAAGAAAGAAAUUCCACCAUAUCGUACAACUUCUCCAAGUGAAAGCAUUUCAGAGGACAGAAGAGCUGUGAUCUCAAAAUUUCUGCCAAGGAUUCAAUAACCAAAUUUGAGAACAUGAUACUUAUUCCCUUCCCCUUUCAUUAUGACUAGCAUGAAAAAAUAACAGCACAACAGGCAAGCUUUGGAAUUCACACCAAAUGUGAAAGUAGGAGCUCUCUGAGUCCUACAUAUUGGCUUCAUGUUACUGUAGGCUUCUCUUGCACUGCUUAUCCCACAGAAUGAUGGCAGGGUUUUGCGUAUCUUAGGAAACUUGGAGGAUGUGUGUGUCUGCAUAUCUCUUUGUGACCUUGCUCAUGCUUUCAGAAAAUGUAGCCUAAUAUACAUGUGUGUUAUCCAACCUACCAUGAAACCUAAAGCAUAACAGCACAAGUAUUUUGGUAGUUCUAUUUCUACUCAUGGUAAAUCCAGGGCUUUUCACAGAGGUAAUGAAAUCUUAGCAAAGGCAACAACAGUUGACCUCAUAUAAAGUAACUGCUAGCAAAUAAGCCAAAUGUCGGUCUGGGAGAGCAGUUACAAAGGGAAAUUCAUGUUUUAAAAUGCCCAAGGAUUUAUAUUAUUCUCAACGUAAGCUGUGCUAGUGACUCAAAAUUACUGGACAGAAGAAGUAAACAACCUCAGAGGUAUAAUGUAGCAGUUCUGAGAGGAAGGCUACGUAGGGGGAUUUCCAGAUGAUGCCAUGAGAAGUGCCACGACUACCACGGGUACUACAAUUUACAGAGACGCUUAAUAGAGCAAAUUAGCCAAGCUAAGCAGAGUGCAACACAAAGGAUGUACUGCUACUACAACUCCAUGUAACUUAUUCAAUUUCUGCCAGGUGUCUCCAUAUAGCACUUAUCCCACAGGAAAAAAAAUCACAGAAAAAUUUGCAGAGUCUAUCAUAAUGAUAUAAUAUAAAGGAAAAUAAUAAUUAUAGAAAAUGGUAAGAAUGCCUCCAGUGCAGAAAUUCUGGGCUGAACUUAGAGUUGCUGAACUGUAUGACCUGCAUGAGCUAACCCUCCACCUCAGAGCAUGAGCACUUAUUCAAGAAAUGACAUUCAAAUGUUUUAUGACCUUGAGCAGCAGCUUAACAUCUGUAGGAGGAACAGUUGUGCAUUGUAGCUGCCUUCCCAAGCGAUUAAAUGCACUCUUCCAUUGUUAGUAACUUUCAAAUAACAGCAAUUUAAAAAGCAGAAGAGAAUGCCAAAAUAUCAGAGAUCUGAAUCCAGUCAGAACAAGAUGCUCCCAGUAAUAUUUCUAACGCUAUGAAAUUUCCUCCCCUCCCCAGAAUCCAGGGAAAUAUCUUGCACAGUAUGAGGAGAAUAACAAUAAUGCCUCAACCUGAAAUUAAUGGUCACCAAGUUCCAACUAAAAGAGCUGAUUUAUGUUAUUUGGGUGCACAUGGAAAGAACAGGUUAUGUUGAAGACAUGGACUGCCUAGCUAUCGUAGCAUUGAUCUUAAAGCAGGGGCAUUAAGCAAGCAAAUACAGCAGAAGAAAUUAUUUCUGGGGCAGCUCUGUUUACAUCUGCAGACCUACCCAAGCCAAGAAGUCAUCCCAAAAUAAAUUAAAAAAAAACCUGUCAACUAGAUAUGAAUGGUUUCUGGUCUUGACUUUUUGUAACUCCACUAAAAAAGCACAGUAUAAAUCUGCAACUCUGUAUCCGGGCAGUAAUUGAAAUACAUCAAGAAAAUGUUUGCAGUCAUUCCAGAUGGGGGAAA
Non-coding RNA from Meleagris gallopavo (turkey), 2780 nucleotides. NCBI's taxonomy places the organism in Eukaryota, Metazoa, Chordata, Aves, Galliformes, Phasianidae. The record is from RefSeq and is a predicted model, not a curated record.